GGACUUUUCUGUUCUAAGCAAGUACUUGCUAGCGCGGAAGAGAAUCGAUGAAGGAUUGCGUUCUGCGUUUGGCCUGCGCUGUGCUGCUUCUGCCUUUCAGAAAUGCACUUCAAGAAGCCGGUAGCUAGUUAAUAGCCUUGGCAUGGAGCUCUUAGGCGGUGGAAGCUGGCAGCAGCAAUUCCCAAGUAUAUGUGGAAUUUGAUGACCUUGAAUGGGAAAAACGAGAAUGGGUUAAAGUUUAUGAAGAUUUUGCAACCUUCUUGGUGGAGUACCAGCUGGUCUGGGCAAAAAGAAAGGACCCAAGCCAGACUCAGGGAUCAAAGAUCAAACAAAUUCAGUGGCCUGCAUUGAAUUCCGGUUGCUUCUGCUGGGUUUUGUCAUGAAUCCCAUGACGUGCUGCUGUGUGAAGCCUCAA
RNAcentral lists this long non-coding RNA (415 nucleotides) under Apteryx rowi (Okarito brown kiwi). RNAcentral describes it as "lncRNA (ENSARWG00000001243.1)". The record is from RNAcentral. Lineage: Eukaryota; Metazoa; Chordata; Aves; Apterygiformes; Apterygidae.